CCGGCGCUGGGCGCUACAGCGGCUCCCGGUGCGCCCCUCACCAGUCUGUUGCUCACAGGGCCUCUGCAUAGGCUGGGACUGCCGGCUAGGCCAGGAGACCUGGCAGCUGCGGACUCCCCAGCUCGGAGCAGCCCCUCUUUGACCUCGCAUGGUGGAGAAGCAG
RNAcentral lists this long non-coding RNA (163 nucleotides) under Zalophus californianus (California sea lion). RNAcentral's name for it is "lncRNA (ENSZCAG00015007730.1)". Lineage: Eukaryota; Metazoa; Chordata; Mammalia; Carnivora; Otariidae. The record is from RNAcentral.